UACAGAGGGGUGCAAACGUUGCUCGGGAAUCAUUGGGGCGUAAAGCGCGUGUAGGCGGCACGACAAGUCAGACUGGUGAAAGCCCCUCGGCUCAACCCGAGGAAAGUGCAGCUGAAACUGUCGCGCUAGAGUGCUGAAGAGGGUGGCGGGAAUGCGCAGUGUAGAGGUGAAAUUCGUAGAUAUUGCGUAGAACACCAGUGGCGAAGGCGGCCACCUGGGAAGCUACUGAGCUAAGACGCGAAAGCAUGGGGAGCAAACAGGG
RNAcentral lists this ribosomal RNA (262 nucleotides) under uncultured bacterium. RNAcentral describes it as "partial 16S ribosomal RNA". It matches the Rfam family "Bacterial small subunit ribosomal RNA", at positions 524 to 777 of the family's 1533-position model. The record is from RNAcentral.